AGAUCAGGAGGGGAGAACGAUGGCAAAUGCACAGCACAACUUAGUCACCAUUUCCUGCUGAGAACUCAACUUGUUGUACUGAUCUUGUUAUUAUAUUGCUUUAAUCAACUGAACAUAACAGUAAUUUCACAAACUAACCAACUAGCCAGGAAAAAGAGGGGUUCUUGAAAAAAGUGACAAUAUGACCAUGAAAUUUUUGAGAUGCUAAUACUCAAAAGAAAUCUGUGGAUAUAUAAUCUUAUUUUUUUUCUUAGAAAUAUUAGGAAUACUGGGGAAGAACAAUAAUUAGUUUUGAUCAAAAUGAAAGAACAAUCAAAUAUAGGCCUAAAUUUUACCAAUUCAUUAACAAUAGUAGUAUUAUUAAAUCACAGCACAUUCCUGCUGUGUGCAUGCUACCAAUCAUCACAAGAUCAUCAAGCUCAUCAUCACAAGAUCAUCACCUAUACAAACUGACUCUUGUCCUUGCAAGAUUCUUCAUUAACCUCACUGUUAAUAGAGACAUUUGAUUUUUAUUACUGAGAGUGAAUUAAAAUUCUUUGUGCUUUUACAUAUAUGUGGGGGUGUGUGCACAUGUUUCAUGUAUCUGUAUGUGUGCAUUUUUCUAUUUUUACAGUAACCUUAAAGGAGAUUUGAAAAAAUAGCCAUAUAGGGUAGCCCAUGUUAUUAUUUUAACUAAACAAUAUAAAAAGACACUGAGUGUUAUUUUAUUACUGAUUGUUAUUUUAUUUAACAACAUUCAUUCCAAAAACUCUGAGACUUUCUAGACCAAUGACUUUCAUUUCUGUUAGGCCCUUUAUGACUGAUUUUGGCUUCUUGUUCUAAAGUAACUUGUAUACCAAAAUGAGAGACUGUAUUACCAAACAACUUAUUGUAAAGUACAUUCUAGGUAACAUUGUCUCAGAAAAUGCCAUGAAGCAAGUCUAGGUUUCUUUUUACUACAUGUUGACACAUCAAAGGGAAAUUACAAAACCUACAGAUUCUCUGACUUCACUUUUUAAUAUUAUUUCUUCCCACACAAGCCAAUGUUGAAAAUUAACUAGAUCUCAAGUGGAAAAUAAUUGAGUUAACUGACUCUCCAAAUAUGAUCUUCAGAGAAAUUAGGAUGGAUGUAUAAACUCGGAAUUAAGUACGAUUGAGCAUAAACAAUUCUUAAGCUAUGAAAC
RNAcentral lists this long non-coding RNA (1163 nucleotides) under Oryctolagus cuniculus (rabbit). RNAcentral's name for it is "lncRNA (ENSOCUG00000034081.1)". The record is from RNAcentral. Lineage: Eukaryota; Metazoa; Chordata; Mammalia; Lagomorpha; Leporidae.